CAGGAGUCCCAACAGGAGUCCCAACAGGAGUCCCAACAGGAGUCCCAACAGGAGUCCCAACAGGAGUGCAAACUACAUAAGAAUACACAAGAAUAAACACUGAUGUGCAUGAAUGUGACUUAAAGGUUUGUGUUGUUUUCUAUAGGCUCACCACAUUCCACUGGAAUGUCCCGCCCUAUGGAGAGGCGACCCUGAAGAUCUGGUUCCACUCCCAAGUCCCUGUCAAGUUUGACAAAACACUGAAUUUUGAGUUGUUGGGUACCAAGAUAUGUUUCAAAAUGUACUGUGGGGGAAUCUAUACAUAUCUAUCCAUCAGCAGAAACACAAAGAUGGUAUUUGCCCACAGGAAGAGAGUCCUUUGCUGAAGCGUUGCAGAAGAGCUACAUCAUCCGCUCUGUCCUCUAUGAGUUUGGCCCACUGCUCUGUGGCAAGACCACAGAUAGGUAUAUAGAGGAAGUAUCCAGAGAACAUGGAAAGGUUGGUGAUACACAACAACACCCCACUGGAUGCUGAGAUUCACUUCUUCUUCCAGCAUGACACCAAGGCUGCCACCUACCAACUGGACCCUCCCAACAUGACCCUUAAACCCAACGAGAGACAAGAAGCCAAUCAGAACUACUCAUGACAUCAUAGAAUGUAGUCUGAGAUGUCGGAUUAGUCAGAACCCUGACUGUGUGACACAAACUUACCUAGAAGUUAUGACUGUUCACUGAUAUUAUCAGUGAACAUUCUCACGCCCAUUUACUUUUGUUCUCGUUUUGAAACUCCAAUGAUCCAUGGUUGUGCCCUGGCAGAUAGAAGACAGUGUGGUGUAUCAAAGAGAACCCAGAGCCAGCAUUUCUGUUGUGGGGUCCAUCCCGAGCUUGAAUGCAAGCAGCUGCAUUUUGAAAAUAAUUCAUUAACAUUACCCAGAACUGCUGUAUCGUUUUUAAACCUGCUUCAGUAACAAAGUAGGAGAUUUGUUUUUGUCAUGGUAGUUUUCUGUUGAUUUUCCUUUCGCCACUCUACUACAUUCUCCCUGUGCUGGUUGUGAACCUCAGGAAGAACACAAGGAGUCUGUACCUGCGUAACAACACGCUGCUGCCUGUAGCCUGGAGGCUAGAGGUGCUGGGGGAUGAGUUCAGUGUUUCCCAGGACCAGGGCAUCAUACUUAGGGAUCCUUGGGGUGUCCCUACCCAAACCCCUAACCCUAAACUUAACCCCUACCCUUAUUCAAACCAUAACCUUAACCAUAACCCUGACCUACCCCUAACCUUAAUUCUUACCUUAACCAUUUUAAAUUUCAACUUCAAAGGGGUAGAGAAGCCCCAAGGAUCCCGGAUAGCAUGGACCCUUGUCUCAAGCCAGAUUGCGCGAUUGCCGUCUGCACUGAUCGGUUGAGGAACGAGCGUUGCGUAGGAGUGACGCCAUCUGACAUGAGACAAUGGCCCAUCAACCUAAAGAGAGCCAUAUGCCUCGAGGUACAUUACUGGAUGAUGAUUGAUUUGUUGUUUGGUAUCGACUGUUGCAUUAUUCCUGUUUACCUCAUAUUGUUGUUGUGUGACAUUCUGUCUGUGUUGCCGUGUGUGUUAUGUGCCUGAUGUGAGGAACAGACAGCCCCCAGGUCUGCUUCUCUACAUAGGUGGUCCACCUCCAUGUAGACUGUACCAAGGAGGUGACCGUGGCCUUCUGCUCAGAGCCGCCCAUAGUACUGACUGCCCAGCCUAUCAAGUGUAAGCUGUGCAGGGUGGUGUUCCAGCAGGAGGUGGACCAGGUGCCAGACUGGGACGACCGCCUCAGGACCAUCAUGUGGGUUGAGUCUGGGAAACAGGCGGGUAGUCAACAGUCUGCAAAGAAGAAGUUCAAGUCACACAGGCUUACUAAAAAGGCUACCUUUUUGUGACUGUAUUUAUUGUUUAUCAUCAUGACCCAUGCAGGGAGGAUAUUUGCUGACUACUCAGACUCCUUGCUCUGGUCAAAUGCUACACCACGCCCACAGACAUCAGUUUCUCCACAAUCAGUCUGGAUCUGAGUACCUCCCCAAUGAUUUCUGGAAUGUAAACACAUUCUAUCUGUUCUGAUUGGUCCCAGAAACCCAUGGGUUGGGUCAGAGCCAGGGUAAAGCAGCGUUUUGAAAAUAUGUCAUUAGCUUUAAUACUCUGAUUGGUUCGAGAUGAUCCAAUUGCUGAUGACUGUUUUCUACAACACCCCUUAUUUUGACGUUACCACAAAUUACUUCAAGGGUGUGGCUGUCUCAGAAUUAAAUAUGUUGCGAACAAACGGCGGAAGAAUUCCUUUUGAGUCGUCAGGCAAGGGAUGAGAGGCCAUUGUAUUUUAAUUACAGUAACUAGUGAAGUAAAUUGAGUGUGCUCUGUCUGUCCCCAUCGGCUCUGUCUGUCCCCAGGCAACUCUCCUCAUCAGGUGGACUUCAAACGGGGGAGAAAUGUGGGCUUCAAAGCUUAAGACUCAGACAGAAAGGCUAAUUAUACACUUAACUCCUCAUAAUGCAAAUUCACAGCUACCUUUUCACUCCUUUGCUUUGUCUGAAGUUUUAUAAUGACAUCCCUUCCCCCUGCAGAAGUGUGUGCUCAAAGACAUGGGCCUCAACAUCAAGAUUAAGAAUGGGCGUUCAGUUGUUCCAUCCUGGACUCAGCUGGCCUGGAUUUCUCCUUCCCCAAAGACACCUUUGUAAUUGGCUUCAUCUACGAUGCAGGGAUGGUGCCAGCUACACAGACACUGAUCAUAAGCAACAACAGAGAGAGGGGCAUCAGAAAUAAAUUAAACCACCUGCGGGCCGCCAGUUGGGGAACCCUGGUGUAGAUUGUCAGUUCUCUAACACCCCGUUUUUGGAGGCGGGGUUCCAGACGGAAGUGCUGCCCCCUGGUGGGUCCAUGGCGGUGCCCAUCACCUUCUACCCAUAGGAGGCAGUGCAAUACCAUGAGCGAGUGGUCUUUGAGAUCAAUGACUGUGUCGAGCAGGUGGUCGAGACCCUAGGUCAAGGAAUUGAGAUGAAGGUUGACUUUGAGGACCCCAGACACAAGGUGGUGAAUCUGGGGGCUCUGCAGAUUGGUCAGAAGAUCAGGAGGGUGAUUCCCCUGGUGAACAACAGCCACUCCUCUCUGACCUCUCCCUUCUGCUCAGCUCCACUGUACACACUCUGCUUGACUCCAGGGUACUGUACGCCUCUCAGAACCACCUCAACAUCACUGUCACUGUGUCCUCUCUCUGAAAGGCAAGCCAUAUGGCUACCUCGACCUGGCAAGUAGUACAGUAGCUACAUUAAUGGAUGUUUUGCUCAGAAUGUAGCUAUAAAGAUAACACAGUUGAGAGUUGUCAUACUAGUUUAGUUCUACCUGUGUGAGUGAGUGUGAUGAGACAUGUAUUGCUCUCCUGUACCGUCGGUGCUGUCAGUGAACCCGCCAGGUGAGGUGACCCUGAAGCCUUUUGGGGGCCUCUAUUUGGUGGAGGUGCUAUUCUCUCCCAUGUAGCGCAUGGCUCCCUUCACCUCAGAGCUGCAACUUGAGUAUCUGGGCACGGUACCCCCGCUGCUGGUGCUGAAUGGCUGCUGUCAUGACAUGGAGGUCAAGCUGGACCAGGACUACCUGCCCUUUGGAGCUGUUGCUCAGCGCUGCAAGGCCAUAAAACGCAUCAUGUGGAACACUGGAGAAAUUGGAGCCAGGACUCUGUGUUCUUCUUCCCAGAUGUGACAGGCAUACUCUACACUCUGCAUGGCACUUCUGAGGCCCUCAAAGUACAUUGAGACAGGGCCUGUCCACAACUGGCACUCCAACCCUCAGCAGUACCACACUACUACUUUAGCAGGAUGCCUAUCAGCUGUUUAACACCUUGUAAUGACACUGCUUCU
This is a long non-coding RNA of Oncorhynchus tshawytscha (Chinook salmon), 3844 nucleotides long. Lineage: Eukaryota; Metazoa; Chordata; Actinopteri; Salmoniformes; Salmonidae. The record is from Ensembl.